CAAGUACUCCCUCCGUCUGGUAAUACUUGUUGGAGAAAUGGACGUAUCUAGACAUAUUUUAGUACUAGAUACAUCCAUUUAUGCGACAAAUAAUUUCAAACGGAGGGAGUAGGUA
This is a non-coding RNA of Triticum aestivum (bread wheat), 115 nucleotides long. The record is from Rfam. NCBI's taxonomy places the organism in Eukaryota, Viridiplantae, Streptophyta, Magnoliopsida, Poales, Poaceae.